RNAcentral lists this unclassified non-coding RNA (217 nucleotides) under Paraglomus occultum. Its description in RNAcentral is "partial internal transcribed spacer 2". The stretch from base 1 to 65 matches the Rfam family "5.8S ribosomal RNA", at positions 84 to 154 of the family's 154-position model. The record is from RNAcentral. Lineage: Eukaryota; Fungi; Glomeromycota; Glomeromycetes; Paraglomerales; Paraglomeraceae.
GUGAAUCAUCGAAUCUUUGAACGCAAAUUGCGCCUUUUGCUAAUGGCAUGUCUGUUUGAGUUCACCAUUUAACAAAUAAUGUGCUGCGUCGUUUGUUUCACACGUUGAUGAGCUUUCCAAGAAUUGUAUUUUUUUGGGGGCGCAUAAUGUAUAGCUUGAAAUUUUUUUUAAGAUCGAGUGAAGUAUAAUGUUUGCUUGGUUUUUGAAAAAACAUAAU